CAGUCGCCGCGGUAAUACGUAGGUGGCAAGCGUUGUCCGGAAUUAUUGGGCGUAAAGGGCUCGCAGGCGGUUUCUUAAGUCUGAUGUGAAAGCCCCCGGCUCAACCGGGGAGGGUCAUUGGAAACUGGGAAACUUGAGUGCAGAAGAGGAGAGUGGAAUUCCACGUGUAGCGGUGAAAUGUGUAGGGAUGUGGAGGAACACCAGUGGCGAAGGCGACUCUCUGGUCUGUAUCUGACGCUGAGGAGCGAAAGCGUGGGGAGCGAACAGGAUUAGAUACCCCAGUAGUCCCUGUCUCUUAUAC
This 301-nucleotide ribosomal RNA is filed under the name uncultured bacterium. RNAcentral describes it as "partial 16S ribosomal RNA". It matches the Rfam family "Bacterial small subunit ribosomal RNA", at positions 509 to 807 of the family's 1533-position model. The record is from RNAcentral.